UCCUGCUUAGCUCAGUUGGUUAGAGCAUCUGACUGUUAAUCAGAGGGUCGCUGGUUCAAGUCCAGCAGCAGGAG
This 74-nucleotide transfer RNA is filed under the name Chitinophagaceae bacterium. RNAcentral describes it as "tRNA-Asn". It matches the Rfam family "tRNA". Rfam says of the family: Transfer RNA (tRNA) molecules are approximately 80 nucleotides in length. Their secondary structure includes four short double-helical elements and three loops (D, anti-codon, and T loops). The record is from RNAcentral. Lineage: Bacteria; Pseudomonadati; Bacteroidota; Chitinophagia; Chitinophagales; Chitinophagaceae. RNAcentral also lists the same sequence under 12 other names.